This 400-nucleotide ribosomal RNA is filed under the name uncultured bacterium. RNAcentral's name for it is "bacterial SSU rRNA". It matches the Rfam family "Bacterial small subunit ribosomal RNA", at positions 359 to 775 of the family's 1533-position model. The record is from RNAcentral.
GAAUAUUGCGCAAUGGAGGAAACUCUGACGCAGUGACGCCGCGUAUAGGAAGAAGGUCUUCGGAUUGUAAACUAUUGUCGUUAGGGAAGAAAAAGGACAGUACCUAAGGAGGAAGCUCCGGCUAACUACGUGCCAGCAGCCGCGGUAAUACGUAGGGAGCAAGCGUUAUCCGGAUUUAUUGGGUGUAAAGGGUGCGUAGGUGGUUUGACAAGUUGGUAGCGUAACUCCGGGGCUCAACCUCGGCACUACUACCAAAACUGUUGGACUUGAGUGCAGGAGGGGCAAAUGGAAUUCCUAGUGUAGCGGUGGAAUGCGUAGAUAUUAGGAGGAACACCAGUGGCGAAGGCGAUUUGCUGGACUGUAACUGACACUGAGGCACGAAAGCGUGGGGAGCAAACAG